This 695-nucleotide ribosomal RNA is filed under the name Bacillus sp. SSL1. RNAcentral describes it as "bacterial SSU rRNA". It matches the Rfam family "Bacterial small subunit ribosomal RNA", at positions 45 to 722 of the family's 1533-position model. The record is from RNAcentral. Lineage: Bacteria; Bacillati; Bacillota; Bacilli; Caryophanales; Bacillaceae.
UGCAGCAUACACAUGCAGUCGUAUCAAGUGUAACCCAGAGCUUGCUCUGAUGAAGUUAGCGGCGGAGGGGGGAGUAACACGUGGGUAACCUGCCCAUAAGACUGGGAUAACUCCGGGAAACCGGGGCUAAUACCGGAUAACAUUUUGAACCGCAUGGUUCGAAAUUGAAAGGCGGCUUCGGCUGUCACUUAUGGAUGGACCCGCGUCGCAUUAGCUAGUUGGUGAGGUAACGGCUCACCAAGGCAACGAUGCGUAGCCGACCUGAGAGGGUGAUCGGCCACACUGGGACUGAGACACGGCCCAGACUCCUACGGGAGGCAGCAGUAGGGAAUCUUCCGCAAUGGACGAAAGUCUGACGGAGCAACGCCGCGUGAGUGAUGAAGGCUUUCGGGUCGUAAAACUCUGUUGUUAGGGAAGAACAAGUGCUAGUUGGAUAAGCUGGCACCUUGACGGUACCUAACCAGAAAGCCACGGCUAACUACGUGCCAGCAGCCGCGGUAAUACGUAGGUGGCAAGCGUUAUCCGGAAUUAUUGGGCGUAAAGCGCGCGCACGUGGUUUCUUAAGUCUGAUGUGAAAGCCCACGGCUCACCCCUGGAGGGAGUUGUAAACUCGGAGACUUGAGUGCAAAAGAGGAAAGUGCCACUCCCUGUGUGCCUCGACAUUCGCGAGAGAAGAGGAGGACCACUGACGAAGU